UCCCAAGUUAAUGAAUGGACGAAGAAACUAAAAAUCAAAUCCAGCAUCAUAAGUUGCAGCAUCUGAUUUUAUUCCAUCAUAAGUUGCUCUAAUUCUGGGUUAACUAACUGAGGCGGACCAAGGUGAACACAGAAAGGAAUAUAUUAUUAGUUAGGAUAAACUAAAAAAUGAUAAGUAUCGAGCUUAGCUUGAAUACGUGAUGUUUUGAAAUCAAAAUAUUUUCUUUAUUGGUAACUUGUCUGUAGUUCCUUUGGCAUCUCUGUUUCUUUCUCCUUCGCAUAGUAAUUUUGUGUCCAGCUCCAAAAUGAUUCUUGUAAGCCAUUUCGGAUUUCCAGUAUAGUAUGGAUAAUCCAAUACAUAGUCCACUGCAAUAGCCCAUCAGAGCAGCUUUCCAAAAAUUGUCGAGAAAUUCAGAAUUGCUUUCUUGAUCGUCUAACACUGAUGCUGUAUAAUUUGCCUCUGACACAUGAUCAUUGCCACAGCCUUUCGAUACUGGAAAUCAUGUAAUACAUCAGUACCUUUAAAUGAAUUAUUCUGAAAUGUAACUGCAAAAAAUAUAAAAGAGUGAAAAACUGAAGUGAAGUGAAUAUUUUGCUGGAAACCAUCAUCAUAUUUUGAGUUUAAAAUUAUUUCGGGUUCGUAGAAUUUUAUAUUGUAUGUAACUUAUCAUUAAAGACCAAUAGGAAAUGCGUUUUCUUCAAAUGUUGCAAAUAUGGCUGCUAUCUCCCUC
This 730-nucleotide long non-coding RNA is filed under the name Capsicum annuum. Its description in RNAcentral is "long non-coding RNA (CANN_LNC021589)". Lineage: Eukaryota; Viridiplantae; Streptophyta; Magnoliopsida; Solanales; Solanaceae. The record is from RNAcentral.